This 465-nucleotide ribosomal RNA is filed under the name uncultured Klebsiella sp. Its description in RNAcentral is "bacterial SSU rRNA". It matches the Rfam family "Bacterial small subunit ribosomal RNA", at positions 338 to 795 of the family's 1533-position model. Lineage: Bacteria; Pseudomonadati; Pseudomonadota; Gammaproteobacteria; Enterobacterales; Enterobacteriaceae. The record is from RNAcentral.
CCUACGGGUGGCUGCAGUGGGGAAUAUUGCACAAUGGGCGCAAGCCUGAUGCAGCCAUGCCGCGUGUGUGAAGAAGGCCUUCGGGUUGUAAAGCACUUUCAGCGGGGAGGAAGGCGGUGAGGUUAAUAACCUCAUCGAUUGACGUUACCCGCAGAAGAAGCACCGGCUAACUCCGUGCCAGCAGCCGCGGUAAUACAGAGGGUGCAAGCGUUAAUCGGAAUUACUGGGCGUAAAGCGCACGCAGGCGGUCUGUCAAGUCGGAUGUGAAAUCCCCGGGCUCAACCUGGGAACUGCAUUCGAAACUGGCAGGCUAGAGGCUUGUAGAGGGGGGUAGAAUUCCAGGUGUAGCGGUGAAAUGCGUAGAGAUCUGGAGGAAUACCGGUGGCGAAGGCGGCCCCCUGGACAAAGACUGACGCUCAGGUGCGAAAGCGUGGGGAGCAAACAGGAUUAGAUACCCGAGUAGUC